GAUGAACGCUGGCGGCGUGCUUAACACAUGCAAGUCGAACGGGAAUUCUUUUAUUGAAACUUCGGUCGAUUUAAUUUAAUUCUAGUGGCGGACGGGUGAGUAACGCGUGGGUAUCCUGCCUUAUACAGGGGGAUAACAGUCAGAAAUGGCUGCUAAUACCGCAUAAGCGCACAGAGCUGCAUGGCUCAGUGUGAAAAACUCCGGUGGUAUAAGAUGGACCCGCGUUGGAUUAGCUGGUUGGUGGGGUAACGGCCCACCAAGGCGACGAUCCAUAGCCGGCCUGAGAGGGUGAACGGCCACAUUGGGACUGAGACACGGCCCAGACUCCUACGGGAGGCAGCAGUGGGGAAUAUUGCACAAUGGGGGAAACCCUGAUGCAGCGACGCCGCGUGAAGGAAGAAGUAUCUCGGUAUGUAAACUUCUAUCAGCAGGGAAGAUAGUGACGGUACCUGACUAAGAAGCCCCGGCUAACUACGUG
This 478-nucleotide ribosomal RNA is filed under the name uncultured bacterium. RNAcentral describes it as "partial 16S ribosomal RNA". It matches the Rfam family "Bacterial small subunit ribosomal RNA", at positions 28 to 507 of the family's 1533-position model. The record is from RNAcentral.